AGUGAACGCUGGCGGUAGGCCUAACACAUGCAAGUCGAACGGCAGCACAGUAAGAGCUUGCUCUUACGGGUGGCGAGUGGCGGACGGGUGAGGAAUACAUCGGAAUCUACUUUUUCGUGGGGGAUAACGUAGGGAAACUUACGCUAAUACCGCAUACGACCUACGGGUGAAAGCAGGGGAUCUUCGGACCUUGCGCGAUUGAAUGAGCCGAUGUCGGAUUAGCUAGUUGGCGGGGUAAAGGCCCACCAAGGCGACGAUCCGUAGCUGGUCUGAGAGGAUGAUAAGCCACACUGGAACUGAGACACGGUCAAGACUCCUACGGGAGGCAGCAGUGGGGAAUAGUGGACAACGGGCGCAAGCAUGAUCCAGCCAUACCGCGUGGGUGAAGUAGGCCUUCGGGUUGUAAAGCCCUUUUGUUGGGAAAGAACAGCAGCAGGUUAAUACCCAGCUGUUCUGACGGUACCCAAAGAAUAAGCACCGGCUAACUUCGUG
This 492-nucleotide ribosomal RNA is filed under the name uncultured bacterium. RNAcentral's name for it is "partial 16S ribosomal RNA". It matches the Rfam family "Bacterial small subunit ribosomal RNA", at positions 29 to 507 of the family's 1533-position model. The record is from RNAcentral.